UCACACAGCUCCUUUAAAAAAGAAAACAAUCUCCCCUAGCGGAUAAUUAUCUACCCUCCCUAAACUGUGGGCCUUCAAGCAGCCACCAACAAAGAGUGCGUCAUAGCUCUACAAUCAAAAAUCCAGCAAUAAAAUGACUCCCUUCUCACUAACAGGCCAACCUAUACUGAUAGGAGAAUCAAUGCUAAAAUGAGUAACUAGGGAUUCCCCUCUUAAGCGUAAACUUACAUCCACACAUUAUUAACAGAUUACAAACCAAUAUCCUAACUCCAACAAGAUUAAAAUAUUGAGUCCCACCCUGUUAACCCAACUCAGGUACGCCCAUUAGAAAGAUUAAAAUCUGUAAAAGGAACUAGGCAAACUCAAGGCCCGACUGUUUACCAAAAACAUAGCCUUCAGCCAACCAAGUAUUGAAGGUGAUGCCUGCCCAGUGACAUAACGUUUAACGGCCGCGGUAUCCUAACCGUGCGAAGGUAGCGCAAUCAAUUGUCCCAUAAAUCGAGACUUGUAUGAAUGGCUAAACGAGGUCUUAACUGUCUCUUACAGAUAAUCAGUGAAAUUGAUCCCCCUGUCCAAAAGCAGGAAUACUCUCAUAAGACGAGAAGACCCUGUGGAACUUAAAAAUCAACAGCCACUGCUUACAAACCAAAACCUAACAGGCUUACUACCUUAUAAUAUUGGCUGAUAUUUUUCGGUUGGGGCGACCUUGGAGAAAAACAAAUCCUCCAAAAAUAAGACCACACUUCUUAACCAAGAGCAACUCCUCAACGUACUAAUAGUAACCAGACCCAAUAUAAUUGAUAAAUGGACCAAGCUACCCCAGGGAUAACAGCGCAAUCUCCUCUAAGAGCCCACAUCGACGAGGAGGUUUACGACCUCGAUG
RNAcentral lists this ribosomal RNA (883 nucleotides) under Tringa totanus. Its description in RNAcentral is "partial 16S ribosomal RNA". It matches the Rfam family "Bacterial large subunit ribosomal RNA", at positions 1025 to 2531 of the family's 2925-position model. The record is from RNAcentral. Lineage: Eukaryota; Metazoa; Chordata; Aves; Charadriiformes; Scolopacidae.